GACGAACGCUGGCGGCGUGCCUAAUACAUGCAAGUAGAACGCACAGUUUAUACCGUAGCUUGCUACACCAUAGACUGUGAGUUGCGAACGGGUGAGUAACGCGUAGGUAACCUGCCUGGUAGCGGGGGAUAACUAUUGGAAACGAUAGCUAAUACCGCAUAAUAUUGAUUAUUGCAUGAUAAUUGAUUGAAAGAUGCUAUUGCAUCACUACCAGAUGGACCUGCGUUGUAUUAGCUAGUAGGUGAGGUAACGGCUCACCUAGGCGACGAUACAUAGCCGACCUGAGAGGGUGAUCGGCCACACUGGGACUGGGACACGGCCCAGAGUCCUAAGGGAGGCAGCAGUAGGGAAUCUUCGGCAAUGGACGAAAAUCUUGCCGAGCAACGCCGCGUGAGUGGAGAAGGGUUUCGGAUCGUAAAGCUCUGUUGUAAGGGAAGAACGGGUGUGAGAGUGGAAAGUUCACACUGUGACGGUAUCUUACCAGAAAGGGACGGCUAACUACGUG
RNAcentral lists this ribosomal RNA (505 nucleotides) under uncultured bacterium. RNAcentral's name for it is "partial 16S ribosomal RNA". It matches the Rfam family "Bacterial small subunit ribosomal RNA", at positions 28 to 507 of the family's 1533-position model. The record is from RNAcentral.